AUUGAACGCUGGCGGAAUGCUUUACACAUGCAAGUCGAACGGCAGCACGGGGGCAACCCUGGUGGCGAGUGGCGAACGGGUGAGUAAUACAUCGGAACGUGCCCAGUCGUGGGGGAUAACGUAGCGAAAGCUACGCUAAUACCGCAUACGAACUCUGCUUGCAAGCGGGGGAUCGCAAGACUUCGCGCGAUUGGAGCGGCCGAUGGCAGAUUAGGUAGUUGGUGGGGUAAAGGCUCACCAAGCCGACGAUCUGUAGCUGGUCUGAGAGGACGACCAGCCACACUGGGACUGAGACACGGCCCAGACUCCUNACGGGAGGCAGCAGUGGGGAAUUUUGGACAAUGCGCGCAAGCCUGAUCCAGCCAUUCCGCGUGCAGGAUGAAGGCCCUCGGGUUGUAAACUGCUUUUGUACGGAACGAAAAAGCCUGGGCUAAUACUCCGGUCCAUGACGUACCGUAAGAAUAAGCACCG
Molecule: ribosomal RNA, 471 nt
Filed under: beta proteobacterium MB18
Lineage: Bacteria; Pseudomonadati; Pseudomonadota; Betaproteobacteria
Description: bacterial SSU rRNA
Rfam family: Bacterial small subunit ribosomal RNA
Source: RNAcentral